UACGGGGGGGGCAAGCGUUGUUCGGAAUUACUGGGCGUAAAGGGCUCGUAGGCGGCCAACUAAGUCAGACGUGAAAUCCCUCGGCUUAACCGGGGAACUGCAUCUGAUACUGGAUGGCUUGAGUUCGGGAGAGGGAUGCGGAAUUCCAGGUGUAGCGGUGAAAUGCGUAGAUAUCUGGAGGAACACCGGUGGCGAAGGCGGCAUCCUGGACCGACAUUGACGCUGAGGGGCGAAAGCCAGGGGAGCAAACGGG
Molecule: ribosomal RNA, 253 nt
Filed under: uncultured bacterium
Lineage: Bacteria
Description: partial 16S ribosomal RNA
Rfam family: Bacterial small subunit ribosomal RNA
Source: RNAcentral